AGUGAACGCUGGCGGUAGGCCUAACACAUGCAAGUCGAACGGCAGCACAGUAAGAGCUUGCUCUUACGGGUGGCGAGUGGCGGACGGGUGAGGAAUACAUCGGAAUCUACUUUUUCGUGGGGGAUAACGUAGGGAAACUUACGCUAAUACCGCAUACGACCUACGGGUGAAAGCAGGGGAUCUUCGGACCUUGCGCGAUUGAAUGAGCCGAUGUCGGAUUAGCUAGUUGGCGGGGUGAAGGCCCACCAAGGCGACGAUCCGUAGCUGGUCUGAGAGGAUGAUCAGCCACACUGGCACUGAGACACGGUCCAGACUCCUACGGGAGGCAGCAGUGGGGAAUAUUGGACAAUGGGCGCAAGCCUGAUCCAGCCAUACCGCGUGGGUGAAGAAGGCCUUCGGGUUGUAAAGCCCUUUUGUUGGGAAAGAAAAGCAGCAGGUUAAUACCCCGCUGUUCUGACGGUACCCAAAGAAUAAGCACCGGCUAACUUCGUG
Molecule: ribosomal RNA, 492 nt
Filed under: uncultured bacterium
Lineage: Bacteria
Description: partial 16S ribosomal RNA
Rfam family: Bacterial small subunit ribosomal RNA
Source: RNAcentral